CACAUUCAGAUUAGUUACACUUCAAAAGCUUAACCGCCACACAAGAUGAGUGGCUACCAUAUCGGACAAGGCAGUGCUACCCUUCCACUGAGAGACAGAGUACACAGAUGGACAACGGUGAGACCAUAUAUAACAAUAUAUUCUGACCACACAAGAAGCCCAGGAAGCCAAGCCACAUCUGCAUCAAUUGUGCAGCAAGGGUCUUAUCUAGGAUGUGAAUUUCAUUGGAAAGCUGGCUGUCUUGAAAAGGAGAGAAGAGACGAGGAAGAAAAACUAGACUCAGAGGACCAACAGCAUUUUCAUUCGUGAACAGUUCAGAUUAACUCAUAAACAACGGAAACAUUCCAUGACUGAGUGAUGGCACUCAGCCGGCUGUCCUUUGGAAGAAACUGGCCCAAUCAGGACCUGAAAUCAGGAGCUAGAAUGCCUCCCUCAUUCCUCACUAUCGUCUCCUCUCUGACCAGAUUUGUUCUUCGAAG
Long non-coding RNA from Rhinolophus ferrumequinum (greater horseshoe bat), 479 nucleotides. RefSeq lists it as uncharacterized. NCBI's taxonomy places the organism in Eukaryota, Metazoa, Chordata, Mammalia, Chiroptera, Rhinolophidae. The record is from RefSeq and is a predicted model, not a curated record. The transcript has 3 exons.